This 497-nucleotide long non-coding RNA is filed under the name Brassica napus (rape). Its description in RNAcentral is "long non-coding RNA (BNAP_LNC009971)". Lineage: Eukaryota; Viridiplantae; Streptophyta; Magnoliopsida; Brassicales; Brassicaceae. The record is from RNAcentral.
AGCAUUCAAAGAACAAAUGUCGCAUAGUCUCAGCCGAUCCUUGGCAUAGAACACAAGUCUCAUCUAUGUUAAUAUUCCAACUCUUCAUCCUGUCACAAGUCGACAGCCUCUCAUGCAUAGCUGUCCAAAGAAUAAAUGAGAACUUCGGAGUGGCGUGCUUGAACCAGACUGCUUUAUACCAAUGACAGAUAAAAUAUUUCUCUCUUAUUACGUGCCAAGUUCCUUUGGUAGUGAACUUUUUCUUGUAGCAACCCUUCUCAUUCUUCCACAUAGAUAUAUCCUCUUCAUUCUUCCAUUUGGCUUUGUAAUUUUCAAUUUCAAUAUCCACUAUGUUCAAAAUGGGAAGUCGAUGAUGCCUUCUUCUAUGGCUCUUGCUAGCAUCAACAUUUGCAUUGAUCGGUAUACCAAGAUCGAUAUGAGCUCCAUUUCCAGUAUAUCUCUUAAACAGCCCAGUGGAGACCAAACUUCAUGCCAGAACAAAGCUUUCCCCCCAUCUC